CGAACCGCGCUUUAGAAGCCUUGAAAAAGGUACCCGAAUUCAAAUAUGGAAAAGGCAAGAUUCGCUUUACAGCCGAUCCCUAUAUUCCUGGGGCUUUGCUUCCGCUUGGGUCAUGACUAUCUCAAGCGAUUCUGUAACAAACCAGCAGGCGAUGGAGUCUAGUUCUGUCAUUAACUCAUUUUACAGACGAAGAAACUGAUACUUCCACUAUCCAGGGCUGUCUUUAAAAUGUCAGGGGAAGAAAAAAAAGUCAGACACCCAGACACCCUUAGGAUGUGAACUUGUUAAGAGAAUUUAUUCCCCCAUCUCUACCUCCUCAUCGUCUGUGGAAAAGGUGUGAAGCUGUCAGACCCAACAACUGGCAAAGAAAGUCAUCUCUACAAGGGCAGCUACUCUACAAAGGUGUAACAAGAUUCUUUUGGAGGUAAUUUACACUGGAAGUAGAUGUUGGAAGUUAUUCUUCAUUUGCAGCUCACUGGCAUUUCACACCAGAACAAAGCUCACUGGUCCUAGAGAGGAAAAAGAGGAGUUCCGAGCCACAAACCAAGAGCUGGCCGCAGGGACAGGGUGGAUCAGGGCCUUCACUUCAAUAGCCCUGACACUCAUUGUGGUGUAAGAAUGAUCCAGCCUCCCUCGCCCCAGGGCUCAGCACUUCCUCUGCUCCCCAGCCACUUCUGGGAAGGCUGUCUUGCACUUACCCGGAGAGCUGAGAAAUUGGCUUUGAUUCUUAAAUUGCAAGAACUCCCAUCCACCAUGGAUCAAGAGGUACCAAGGUGAGAACUUGGAAGAAGCCCAAAAUGGUAGUUUUCUAGAAGCUGGUGGAGUCGAUAUUGUCUGCCUGAUGAACAAUCUUGGAAAGAGUCUUCUAGGUAGAAAAACCCAGGAAGCCAAGGGAGCAGACACCCCAGUUCCCAGCCCUGGGAGGAGACAGUGGGGUCACCAAGGGGCGGCUUAGAGAGGCUUCGCCCAUUUCUGUAACCAACCAGCCCUGAUCCCCGGCUUUGAUACGGACUGUUGAUUGAUAUUGACUCUUUCCAAUUUUUUCUAAAGGGCAAGCCCCCACUCCCACCUUCCACGUGGUUGUCCUUUAAGCCCUCCUGGAUAGAUUUUUUGAAGCCACGCUGAUAAAAAGAUAAUAAUAAUAAUAACUCAGAAACCACUCAAGACCGUCUGCUGUCCACACUCUCAACCUCAAAAUAGUUUAUAUUUAUAGAACACUUCACAAUUUCCACACCCCUUCCCCCAUAAAGUAUUGAUUUGAAUUUCAUGACAAACCCUUGAGGUAGUAGGUAGCAGUUAUUAGCCCCUUUUUUACUGCAGAGGAAACUGAUGCUCAGAGAGGUUAAGAAACUUGUCCAAGGUCACCCUGCCAAUAUACAGGAAGUGGUGAAAUAAAGACCCAGACCCAAGCACCCAGAGUCCUAGUUCAAGAGACCAUUCCUGGGACUUCCCUGGUGGUGCAGUGGUUAAGAAUCCUCCUACCAAUGCAGGGGACAUGGGUUCGAGCCCUGGCCCAGGAAGACCCCACAUGCCACGGAGCAACUAAGCCCGUGCACCACAACUACUGAGCCUGCGCUCUAGAGCCCGUGUGUCACAACUGCUGAAACCCACGUGCCUAGAGCCCAUGCUCCACAAUAAGAGAAGCCACCGCAAUGAGAAGCCCUUGCUCGCCGCAACUAGAGAAAGCCCACGCACAGCAACGGAAGACCCAACGCAGCCAAUAAAGAAAUAAGUAAGUAAAUAAAUAAAUAAAUUUAUUUAAAAAAAAAAAAAGGCCAUUCCUAGUUCACUCUGUCCCUCUGCUGCAUGGAACCUCAGAUCCUCCCAGAUCUUGGUGGUUGGCAAACAGAGACCACAUGUGCUCAGGCUGAUGGGGGAGGAAGUGUAACAGGCAUUCCCGCCAGGGGUGGCAGCAUGUGCACUGUGACAGCCUCAUUACAAUGAUUAAAUUGUCCUGUGUCAGUGACAGAUUGGAAGACUGGGAGGCAGGUGGACCACGAACCUGAAAGCACCUCUGGGACAGCCCAAGCAACAUGACCUAUCCAUCACCGGGAGCUGGCAGGGCCCACGAGCUCCUCCAGUGCUUCCGGGGACAAGACAGCCAGGGGGGCCCUGAGGGCCAGAUGUUAUCUCCUGCCAUUUGCAUCUAAAAUUCAUCAUUUCUUGGCAUGAAUUGAUGGAGGAGGCAUAAAGGGGUGGUAUAAUGGGGUAGCACUUUUAAUUCCUUUCUGACCCCCAUUAAAGGCAGCCUCAAGGGGGAAGUUCCCCAAAGGUUAAAUGACUUUAGGUGAUGAGCAGGAAUACAAUUAGACAAGUCAGCCAAGAGGUAUCAGAGGCCUGUGGAGGGCAAUUUGGCAGAAUCGGACUUUUAAACGAAUGAAUUUACCCUACAAAUAUAUUCUCUCAUGGGCCAAAUGAAGCGUUCACAAGGACAUUCACUGUAGCACUUGUCCAUGUGUUGAGCAAAUAAAUAUUAAACAUUGCAGAUACAGCAGGAAACAUGCCAAAAUAGCUGCCCUCCUGAGCUUUCAUUCCAGAGAGGAAACAUUUAUCCAUUCACCCAAUAAAUCUUUACUGAGCCUCUACUAUAUGCUAGGCAUUGUUCUAGGAUAGGGUUGCCAAAUAAAAUAUAGGCUACCCAGAUAAAUUUGAAUUUCAGAUAAACACUGAAAUAUUAUUUAGCAUAACUAUGUUCCUGGGGAGGAAUGGACUGGGAGUUUGGGGUUAGUAGAUAACACAGGGAACUAUAUCCAUAUCCUGGGAUAAACUAUAAUGGAAAAGAAUAUAAAAAAGAAUGUAUAUAUUUGUAUAACUGAGUCACUUUGCUGUACGGCAGAAAUUAAUACAACAUUGUAGGACUUCCCUGGUGGCGCAGUGGUUAAGAAUCAUCUGCCAAUGCAGAGGACACAGGUUCGAUCCCUGGUCUGGACAGAUCCCACAUGCCGGGGAGCAACUAAGCCCUUAUGCCAGCAACUAAGCCCUUAUGCCAGCCCUUAUGCCUACUGAGCCAGCGUGCUGCAACUACUGAAGCUUGCGUGCCUACAGCCCGUGCUCUGCAACAAGAGGAGCCACCACAAUGAGAAGCCCGCGCACCGAAAUGAAGAAUAGCCCCCGCUCGCCGCAACUAGAAAAAGCCCGUGAAGCAACGAAGACACAACGCAGCCAAAAAAUAAAAUUAAAAAAAAAGAAAUUAAUACAACAUUGUAAAUCAGCUAUACUUCGAUAAAAAAAUAAACUAAAGAAACCAAGAAGUAUGGGAUAUCCUUACACUAAAAAAUUAUUCACUGUUCAUCUGAAAUUGAAAUUUAACUGGAGGGACUUCCCUGGUUGCCCAGUGGUUAAGACUCUGUGCUUCCACUGCAGGAGGCGUGGGUUCAAUCCCUGGUCAGUGAACUAAGAUCCCACAUGCUGCGUGGCAUGGCCAAAAAUAUUUCUUAAAAAAAAAUUUGUUUUUAAGAAAUUUAACUGGGAAGCCUGUAUUUCAAUAUGCUAACUCUGGCAAACCUAUUCUGAGAACAUUGUUUAUAGGAGCAAAAGUUCAGAAACAACCUAAGUGUCCAUCAACAGGGGACUUGUUAAGUAAAUUAUAGAAAACCCAAACAAUGGGAAAUCAUCAUCCAAAAAAUAAUAAGGCAAAUUUAUAUGAUGAUUUGGAAUUAUUUCCAAGAUGCAGAGUUAGGUGAAAAGAAGAAGGUUCAAAACAGUGUAUAAGUUAUCCCACCAUCUGGUAAAGAAAAAGAGAUAUGGAGAUAUGUGCAUAUAUGUUCAAAGACUGUCUUGGGAAGGUGGCCAGAGAUGGGUAACUCAUGCUUCUGCAGAAGGAGAACAAGAAAACUAGGGGAAAACAGCAGUACCCCUUCUAUACCUUUUGAAUUUUGAUAUAAAUCCAUAUAUUACUUAUUUUAAAACAACUUCUUUAUCUCUGUGUGUGUUUUAAGAUAUCUUUGCUGGUAGGGUUGUAAGAUUCUUAGAGAGAGUUGCCAUAGCCUCCCUGAAGGUCUUCGACAGUCAGGAUUUCAGGAUGGUCCAGGAAGCAGGAGAAGGGACAGAAUGACCUUGGAGGGUCACUCAAGUUCAGCAUCAAGAACCAUGGCACACACACAGGACCAGAUACAUAAUUUUCAGGGCCCAGUACAAAAUGAUGUCUCCUUGUUCAUAAAUUCUUAGGAAUUCCAGGAAUGGUAACAGCAGAGGUAUAAGUCAAGUAUGGGUUCCUUCUAAACAAAAGCAGAGAAAACCCACACGACUGCUGGGUGGUUCCUUUGAAUAGGGACACCCGGGAACGUAAUUCCUCACACACAGCCAUUUUCCACACUCACCACUGCUCCAGUCAUGAGCUCAGAAGAGAAAGCAAAACAAUAAAAUAAAUAUAAAUCAAAGCCAACCAUGUGAAUAAAAGGGAUCCAAGGGUCAGUGCGGCAGACAAAACACUAGAAUUCAGAUAGCUUUAGGAUCUUCCCGGACAAAUUACACAAAUGGCUGUCAGAGGUGUCCCAAAGUUCACACAAAAUAUGCCUCCUGGCUCACUGAGCUCCCAUUCCCCGGCAGUAAAUUAUUCACUGAACAAGCUGGAGCUGGUACAGCUGUUGUCCCAACAUAGGCCUGAUGUCCACCCAGAAAACUACUCAAUAAUUUGUACGGAAGGUGACCCAGCACUAAAUCCAUCUCUCCCUGAGCAGAGGCACUUGCUUCAGGGGAAGAAUCCUCCAUGCUGCCUCCGGCCUCCUUUUGGAACCAGGCACCGAGUCCCCAUCGAGGGGCCACAGGUGGCCUUGCAGCCCCAGAGCAGCACCUCCUAACCCAGCAGUCAGCGAGCUUGGGAGGCCAAGGACACCAGAGGGAGGCCUCCAGUGGGUGAGAAGGAAAAAGGAGGAGGUCGGGAAAGGAAAGAAAGAGACCCUGCAGGAGAAGAGAUUACAGGCUGAAGAGGGAGGGAUGGAACGAGGAAGAGGGAAGAAAUAUAAGCUUUGAGACAAAGUCUGUGGUUCCAGAGUGGCUUCUACCUCCUUACCGCCCCGAUCUCAGCUUCCGGAAAUCCUUCCCAUCCUUGAGGCUCCGCUCAAACGACACUUCCUCAAGGGAGUUCACCGAUUGCCGCAGAACAAUGCUGCUACGAAAAGAAAUAGCAAUAACCUUGAUGGAGAGCGUACCACGUACCACCUGCAACAUGUCAUUUAGUUCCCCCCAACCCUUUGAAGUAGACACUAUUGCUGCCCUCAUUUUCCAAAUAAAGAAACCGAGGUAUGAAGAAACUUAGUAACCUGCCCAAGGUUACACAGGUGACAAAUGGUGCAGCUAGAACCAGAGAGUGACUUCAGAGCCUUCACUUUUAACCAUUCAGUGCUACAAUUUCCUUCUUCUGCCUCACCCUGUGCCCUCAAGUGGCUCAGACUUUGCUUGUGGUUCCAACUUCACCUCUCCACACCCACCUCUGGGACUCUGUCUCACUCAUACCCCUGUUCCUCCAGGAACCCAGUAUGAUGUCUAGCACACAGUAGGUACUCAAUAAAUAUCAGUUCCAUUCCUUUCUCUAGUCAGACACAUGUACAAAAAGUACUAUGUCUCAGGACUUCCCUGGCGGUUCAGUGGUUAAGAAGCCACGCUCACUGCAGGGGGCACGGGUUCGGUCCCUGGAGAGGGAACUAAGAUACCACAUCCCACAUGCCAUGCAGUGCAGCCAAAUAAAAUAAAUUAAAAUAAAAUAACAGUUAUACUAUCUAAAAAAAAAAGGACUGGGACUUCCCUAGUGGUCCAGUGGGUAAGAUUCCACAUUCUCAAUGCAGGGGUCCUGGGUUCGAUCCCUGGUGGGGGAACUAGAUCCUGCAUGCAUCUGCAACUAAAAGUCCACAUGCUGCAACUAAAAACUCCACAUGCCGCAACUAAGACCUAGCACAGCCAAAAUAAAUAAAUGAACAAAUAAAUAUUUUUAAAAAAUAAAAACAUCAUCUAAAAAGAAAAAAAAAAGUACUGUCUCAGCUACAGACUGGGAGAAAAUAUUUACGUAUCACAUACCCAACACAGGAUUUGUAUUCAGAAUAUAAUAUAAACUGUUAUAACUGAAAAAAAGAAAAUAGGCAACUCAAUUAAACAAUGAGUAGGGGGCUUCCCUGAUGGCGCAGUGGUUGAGAGUCUGCCUGCCGAUUCAGGGGACGCGGGUUCGUGCCCCGGUCCGGGGGGAAUCCCACAUGCCGCGGAGCAGCUGGGCCCGUGAGCCAUGGCCGCUGGGUCUGCGCGUCUGGAGCCUGUGCUCCGCAACGGGAGAGGCCACAACAGUGAGGGGCCCGCCUACCGCCAAAAAAAAAAAAAAUGAGUCAACGACAUGAACAA
This is a long non-coding RNA of Globicephala melas (long-finned pilot whale), 6327 nucleotides long. RefSeq lists it as uncharacterized. Lineage: Eukaryota; Metazoa; Chordata; Mammalia; Artiodactyla; Delphinidae. The record is from RefSeq and is a predicted model, not a curated record.